RNAcentral lists this transfer RNA (72 nucleotides) under Neostylopyga rhombifolia (harlequin cockroach). Its description in RNAcentral is "tRNA-Val". The record is from RNAcentral. Lineage: Eukaryota; Metazoa; Arthropoda; Insecta; Blattodea; Blattidae.
CAGGUUAAAUCUUUAUAGUUAGGAAUUUCAUUUACACUGAAAAUUUUUAUCGUGCAAUUCGGUAUAACUUGA